CUGUUUCUCUAGAAUUGUAAAAAUAAGGAGGAAGAGGGUGAAAUGCAUUGUAAGGUUCCUUGGCAUCUGAGGAUAAAAUUCUGCUAUCACAACAGAAGGAUUUUUUAUAAUGGCCAAGAAAAAAAAUAUUUUGAAUAUGGAAGAAAGUAUGUAAAAGGUCUCAGGCUUUGUACUUCUUGGUUCAGGGGUAUUUGAAGAGCUGAAAGCAGAAACUGCUUGAAACAACUUCUCUUUCUGGCCCUUCUGAAAGUCUUGAGAAUACUAAGCAAGUGUGUCCCCUGACAAGGAAGAAACUGGAGAAGAGUAGGCCAAAGAAUGUCAGACAGAUGGCAAGAAUUGAGGUUGCUGUAGACCCGUGUGGAUUCGCCACCAGUAACAAAACCAUAAUUACACAGGGAGGGUUUCUUCCAUCAGGCUGGUGGCAUGCUCCUUCUACAGCAGAAUAUGCUGCGGCUUUUUUCUUAUUCUUUUGGCCUUCAGAAGAAAGAGUGCUGCAUGCCAGUGUCUUCAAGUGGAUACUUCUGAGGCCCUUCAGAAAGAGCAAGAAUGGAUCCAGAGAGCUGCUUGGCCUCAGGAUACUCCUUUGGUUCAUCUAUAUUCACCAGGGACAUUCCAGUGUUGUCGUUUUUAAACGGUCGCUUAGCAGAAAAACAUUUACUGAACAAUGGAAUAAGAGGGAAAAGAGAAAUCCAUGUGACUCUUGACUGCUGAGAACUGAGCAUCAGAUUUCAGAUAAGCACUUUCAGUGCUUGAGCAUAUAAAAUGUUAUAGCAGUGACUAUAAGAUUGCUUACAUAUAUGUGUACCAUAUAGUAGUUCCUCAUCAUUUUGCCAGGAAGAUAAGAAGGGGAAUACUAAAAGUAUCAGAAUAUUGGCCUUUUCCUAGCAGCUUGAAGGAGCAGCUUGUUCCAGAGUGAUGGCGAUUGAGAAAUGCCUAUGACAUCAUCUUGUUCUCUUAGGAUCCAAUGGGAGUUCAUGAUGACUCAGCCACAGCUAGCACAGAGCACACGGCACAUUCACUCCAUAUUCGCUCAAUUUAAUUUCUCCAAUGAAAAGCAAAUGUGUUUAUUAUUUAUAGGAACAACCUCCAUCCAAAAAAAAGAGCAGUUAUUGUCUGAAUAAAAGGAUGCUCCAAGUUGUGAAGUUUCCCGGCUAUUUUGUGCUUCUAAGACCACCAAGAUUAAUAUGAAAACCCUUUGGAAAGAUUUCAGGAGUAAAGAGAAACUGAAAGUUAAAGUGUGAGAAGUGAAUUAAAGUUCAACCUGGAAAGAAGACAUAACAUCUUUGACAAGAUAAUAUAAGCCAAUAGGAAAAUGACUCAAUUUAUACGUAACCUUUCAGGAACACGUUUAUUUUAGCACAGGAAGCACACCUGUACGUGCAGACUAGCACCGACUCAAUCUUGUCAGAAGAAUAGAGUGUUCUUUUACUAAUAGGAGCUACUUCAUUAUUUCCACAAAGAUGAACACAGUCAAUGACCCAAAAGUUAGAUGUAUAGAUGGUCCACUUAAGAUUUGAGAAUUGUGAGGAAAAUAUGCCAUCACCCUAAAUAAGCUACUCAGUGACAUCUAAUCUUGAAGGAAGACAAGAUGUUUCCUGACACUUGUUUAUUGCUGUUCUGAUACACUGGGCAAAUUAUUUGCUCUCCAAGAAACAGAAACCUAUCCCUCUAAUGCUAUUACCAUAAUACUCUAGACAAAUACAUGCAAUUUCAUGUCAUUUUAUCUAGGCAUAUCAACUGGAUUUUAUGCUGUCAUUUUUCCCAGGCAAAGCUGAUAUCAUUACCACAUGACUUCAGCCAGCAAACAGUUCUGCUGUUAUCUCAUAUCCUCAUAGAAUCCUUUCCCCCAGAUGUUAGUUUCAUUCAAAUGCAUUCCAUAUGAACAACAUUCGAAGGAACAGUUUUCUAAUCUCCCAUCCCCCAUUCUCCCUUCCGAAAAUCAUCCUUACAAGAGAAAUUUAGGGUUUUUCUGGCAAGAACUUAAAGAUAUCCAGUUUAAGUGCUUAAUUCUAGGAUGUGGAGUGGAGCAGAGCACUUGAGCUGUGAAAGAGCUGCGUGUUUUUAUUGUAGGCCCCUCUCUGCUACACUCUUCACACUUGAUUAUGCAUCAAACCUAAAAUUCCAUUUCUCAGCACAACUGCAGUCCCCAACAAAAGCUCAGUGAGGGAUCCAUUUCUUUUUCCUCUACAUGUACCCUUGGCUCCUAUUAAUUUUAAUGUAACUUACAUGAUAGUAACAAUAUUCAUAAAUUCAAAAGAUAACCACUGCCACUUUUGGAGCUUUUCCAUUUAAUAACAUUAAUUUCAUACCAAGUAUGGUUAUUUGGGCAAAAGAAAAAAUUCUUUCUGUAACUUUCCUCCUAGACAGACAAGCGAGAAUAUAUUGUAUUAUAAUUGUAAUUUCAAUCAUUUUGAAGCCCA
This 2420-nucleotide long non-coding RNA is filed under the name Callithrix jacchus (white-tufted-ear marmoset). RNAcentral's name for it is "lncRNA (ENSCJAG00000059469.2)". The record is from RNAcentral. Lineage: Eukaryota; Metazoa; Chordata; Mammalia; Primates; Cebidae.